UGUUUUUUGAAUAUAUAAAAAAUAUCACCUGCCCAAUGAAAUUUUAAUGGCCACGGUAUUUUAACUGUGCAAAGGUAGCGUAAUCAUUUGCUUUGUAAAUUAGAGCUUGUAUGAAUGGUAAGUUGAAAUAAUACUGUCUUUUAUUUAUUAAUUUAAUUUAUCUUUUCAGUGAAGAGACUGAAAUAUUUUUAUAAGACGAGAAGACCCUAGGAGUUUUGUGUAUUAAUUAUUUUAAUAUAAUAGUAUAUUUAAUUGGGGCAAUUAAAGAAUAUAACUUCUUUAAAAUAGAAUAUAAUUAUAUUUGAUCCAUCAUUGAUGAAUAAAAGUUAAAGUUACCCUAGGGAUAACAGCAUAAUCUUUUUUAAGAGUACAUAUCGACAAAAUGGGUUGUGACCUCGAUGUUGGAUUAAGAUAAUUAUUAGGUGUAGAAGCCAAAUUAAUAAGUCUGUUCGACUUUUAAAUUCUUACA
RNAcentral lists this ribosomal RNA (469 nucleotides) under Opisthopatus cinctipes. RNAcentral describes it as "partial 16S ribosomal RNA". It matches the Rfam family "Bacterial large subunit ribosomal RNA", at positions 1824 to 2600 of the family's 2925-position model. The record is from RNAcentral. Lineage: Eukaryota; Metazoa; Onychophora; Udeonychophora; Euonychophora; Peripatopsidae.